AUUGAACGCUGGCGGCACGCCUUACACAUGCAAGUCGAACGGCAGCACGGGUGCUUGCCCCUGGUGGCGAGUGGCGAACGGGUGAGUAAUACAUCGGAACAUGUCCUGUAGUGGGGGAUAGCCCGGCGAAAGCCGGAUUAAUACCGCAUACGAUCCACGGAUGAAAGCGGGGGACCUUCGGGCCUCGCGCUAUAGGGUUGGCCGAUGGCUGAUUAGCUAGUUGGUGGGGUAAAGGCCUACCAAGGCGACGAUCAGUAGCUGGUCUGAGAGGACGACCAGCCACACUGGGACUGAGACACGGCCCAGACUCCUACGGGAGGCAGCAGUGGGGAAUUUUGGACAAUGGGCGAAAGCCUGAUCCAGCAAUGCCGCGUGUGUGAAGAAGGCCUUCGGGUUGUAAAGCACUUUUGUCCGGAAAGAAAUCCUUGACUCUAAUACAGUCGGGGGAUGACGGUACCGGAAGAAUAAGCACCGGCUAACUACGUG
Molecule: ribosomal RNA, 486 nt
Filed under: uncultured bacterium
Lineage: Bacteria
Description: partial 16S ribosomal RNA
Rfam family: Bacterial small subunit ribosomal RNA
Source: RNAcentral